UACGUAGGGUGCGAGCGUUGUCCGGAAUUAUUGGGCGUAAAGGGCUCGUAGGCGGUCUGUUGCGUCGGGAGUGAAAACUCAGGGCUUAACCCUGAGCCUGCUUCCGAUACGGGCAGACUAGAGGUAUGCAGGGGAGAACGGAAUUCCUGGUGUAGCGGUGGAAUGCGUAGAGAUCCGGAAGAACACCGGUGGCGAAGGCGGCCUGCUGGGCAGUGGCUGACGCUGAGGCGCGACAGCGUGGGGAGCGAACAGG
This 253-nucleotide ribosomal RNA is filed under the name uncultured bacterium. Its description in RNAcentral is "partial 16S ribosomal RNA". It matches the Rfam family "Bacterial small subunit ribosomal RNA", at positions 524 to 776 of the family's 1533-position model. The record is from RNAcentral.